CGGGGCGUGGCGCAGUCCGGUAGCGCAACGGCUUUGGGAGCCGUGGGUCGCAGGUUCAAAUCCUGUCGCCCCGACCA
RNAcentral lists this transfer RNA (77 nucleotides) under bacterium. RNAcentral's name for it is "tRNA-Pro". It matches the Rfam family "tRNA". From Rfam's summary of the family: Transfer RNA (tRNA) molecules are approximately 80 nucleotides in length. The record is from RNAcentral. RNAcentral also lists the same sequence under 3 other names.